AUUUAGGAUAUUGGACAGGAUUAUUCUUCAUCCCGGAGAUUGAUGAUGUUACUUAGUACAUUAGGGAAGAUUGAUAUGAUUGGUAAUACGAAAUUGGUUAGAGGGUAUUUGUGGUUGGGUAGAAAAUUCAAGAAUAUCAAAAUACGGCAAUAUUCAAGUUAGCUGUCUAUCUCCAAUCCAUUGGUGCGAAAUUUAUUAUAUUAUACAACUCAGGAGAAAUACAUUACCAACUUCUAAACACUAUUAAAUGCAUGUGGAAUUCAUGUGGAGAUAUCUCCAAUACAUUGGUGCUAAAUUUAUUAUAUUAUACAACUCAGGAGAAAUACAUUACCAACUUCUAAACACUAUUAAAUGCAUGUGGAAUUCAUGUCUAUCUCCACAUGAUUCAAUCAAUCACCUCAUUCAUCAUAUAGUAUACUGGUUAUUUAGGACAUAUGGGAAGAGUUAUCUUUUCAAUUAAGUUUUCUUAAAAAAUGCAAUUUCAUAUAUUAUUUAGGACAUUGGGG
This 506-nucleotide long non-coding RNA is filed under the name Amborella trichopoda. Its description in RNAcentral is "long non-coding RNA (ATRI_LNC005283)". The record is from RNAcentral. Lineage: Eukaryota; Viridiplantae; Streptophyta; Magnoliopsida; Amborellales; Amborellaceae.